Molecule: unclassified non-coding RNA, 254 nt
Filed under: Flavocillium sp.
Lineage: Eukaryota; Fungi; Ascomycota; Sordariomycetes; Hypocreales; Cordycipitaceae
Also listed under: 2 other names
Description: partial contains 5.8S ribosomal RNA, internal transcribed spacer 2, and large subunit ribosomal RNA
Source: RNAcentral
AACGCACAUUGCGCCCGGGAGCAUUCUCCCGGGCAUGCCUGUUCGAGCGUCAUUUCAACCCUCGAUUUCCCUUUGGGGAAGUCGGCCGUUGGAGAUCGGCAGCACUGCCGGCUCCCAAAUACAGUGGCGACCCGCCGCGGGGACCCCUGCGUAGUAACUUACACUCGCACCGGAAACCAGACGUGUCACGCCGUAAAACCCCCAACUUUCUGAACGUUGACCUCGGAUCAGGUAGGAAUACCCGCUGAACUUAA